Molecule: non-coding RNA, 107 nt
Organism: Acanthosepion pharaonis
Lineage: Eukaryota; Metazoa; Mollusca; Cephalopoda; Sepiida; Sepiidae
Source: the annotation of a GenBank genome assembly
CGGCUAUAUCACGUUGAAACACCUGUUCUUGUACGAUCACCGAAUUUAAUAAACGUCGAGCCUGGUCAGUACUUUGUUGGGUGACCGCUUGGGAGUAUCAGAUUCUG